This 397-nucleotide ribosomal RNA is filed under the name uncultured bacterium. Its description in RNAcentral is "bacterial SSU rRNA". It matches the Rfam family "Bacterial small subunit ribosomal RNA", at positions 114 to 507 of the family's 1533-position model. The record is from RNAcentral. RNAcentral also lists the same sequence under 1 other name.
UGUCUGGGAAACUGCCUGAUGGAGGGGGAUAACUACUGGAAACGGUAGCUAAUACCGCAUAACGUCGCAAGACCAAAAAGGGGGACCUUCGGGCCUCUUGCCAUCGGAUGUGCCCAGAUGGGAUUAGCUAGUAGGUGGGGUAACGGCUCACCUAGGCGACGAUCCCUAGCUGGUCUGAGAGGAUGACCAGCCACACUGGAACUGAGACACGGUCCAGACUCCUACGGGAGGCAGCAGUGGGGAAUAUUGCACAAUGGGCGCAAGCCUGAUGCAGCCAUGCCGCGUGUAUGAAGAAGGCCUUCGGGUUGUAAAGUACUUUCAGCGGGGAGGAAGGGAGUAAAGUUAAUACCUUUGCUCAUUGACGUUACCCGCAGAAGAAGCACCGGCUAACUCCGUG